GACGAACGCUGGCGGCGUGCCUAAUACAUGCAAGUCGAGCGGGGGACUUCGGUCCCCAGCGGCGGACGGGUGAGUAACACGUAGGCAACCUGCCCGCAAGACCGGGAUAACAUAGGGAAACUUAUGCUAAUACCGGAUAGGGUGGCCUCCCGCAUGGGAGGGUACGGAAAGAUGGCGCAAGCUAUCACUUGCGGAUGGGCCUGCGGCGCAUUAGCUAGUUGGUGGGGUAACGGCCUACCAAGGCGACGAUGCGUAGCCGACCUGAGAGGGUGACCGGCCACACUGGGACUGAGACACGGCCCAGACUCCUACGGGUGGCA
RNAcentral lists this ribosomal RNA (320 nucleotides) under uncultured Bacillota bacterium. RNAcentral's name for it is "bacterial SSU rRNA". It matches the Rfam family "Bacterial small subunit ribosomal RNA", at positions 28 to 350 of the family's 1533-position model. The record is from RNAcentral. Lineage: Bacteria; Bacillati; Bacillota.